RNAcentral lists this ribosomal RNA (252 nucleotides) under uncultured prokaryote. RNAcentral's name for it is "partial 16S ribosomal RNA". It matches the Rfam family "Bacterial small subunit ribosomal RNA", at positions 524 to 775 of the family's 1533-position model. The record is from RNAcentral.
UACGAAGGGUGCAAGCGUUACUCGGAAUUACUGGGCGUAAAGCGUGCGUAGGUGGUGGUUUAAGUCUGUUGUGAAAGCCCUGGGCUCAACCUGGGAAUUGCAGUGGAUACUGGAUCACUAGAGUGUGGUAGAGGGUAGCGGAAUUCCCGGUGUAGCAGUGAAAUGCGUAGAGAUCGGGAGGAACAUCCGUGGCGAAGGCGGCUACCUGGACCAACACUGACACUGAGGCACGAAAGCGUGGGGAGCAAACGG